AUGGAGAAUUGAUGAACGCUGUUCAUCAAUAUAAGUUUCCGUGUUUCGUUUUGUUCAGUUUUGAGAGAACUUACUCUCAGAAAUAAAUGUAUGUUCUUUGAAAACUAGAUAACAGUGUAGCUCAUAUUUUUUAAUUUUAGU
Molecule: unclassified non-coding RNA, 141 nt
Filed under: Bacillus mycoides
Lineage: Bacteria; Bacillati; Bacillota; Bacilli; Caryophanales; Bacillaceae
Description: partial 16S-23S ribosomal RNA intergenic spacer
Source: RNAcentral